GCAAGUCGAGCGCCCACUUCGGUGGGAGCGGCAGACGGGUGAGUAACACGUGGGAAUCUACCUAUCUCUGCGGAACAACACAUAGAAAUGUGUGCUAAUACCGCAUACGCCCUUAGGGGGAAAGAUUUAUCGGAGAUAGAUGAGCCCGCGUUUGAUUAGCUAGUUGGUGAGGUAAUGGCUCACCAAGGCGACGAUCAGUAGCUGGUCUGAGAGGAUGGAC
RNAcentral lists this ribosomal RNA (220 nucleotides) under uncultured bacterium. Its description in RNAcentral is "partial 16S ribosomal RNA". It matches the Rfam family "Bacterial small subunit ribosomal RNA", at positions 57 to 305 of the family's 1533-position model. The record is from RNAcentral.